AUGAGCUGUUGAAUUACAUUCCCUAUGAAUGAAAUAGAAGUUGACCCCUUGAAAACUAGGAGCUAAGGAAAGAAUGUCUUCAAUCACGUCCUUGAUUUCAAUUGGAGGAGGACAACCUUGUAAGAAUUGGAUAACUUGGAGAGAGUCUCCUUCAAUGAUAAUUCGAGAAAAACCCUUUGCCUUGGCUAGAAGGAUAGCUUUCCUGCACGCAAUAGCUUCACAUUCAAAGGAUCAUAGAUAGCUGGGAGACGUUGCAAGACCAACCACAAAUGGUGCCCGCAUGAUCUUUUGCUACGGCUGCAUAUGCUCCACUUUUAAGGUGUUUAGAAGCUG
RNAcentral lists this unclassified non-coding RNA (333 nucleotides) under Hevea brasiliensis (rubber tree). Lineage: Eukaryota; Viridiplantae; Streptophyta; Magnoliopsida; Malpighiales; Euphorbiaceae. The record is from RNAcentral.